GACGAACGCUGGCGGCGUGCUUAACACAUGCAAGUCGAACGGAAAGGCCCUGCUUUUGUGGGGUGCUCGAGUGGCGAACGGGUGAGUAACACGUGAGUAACCUGCCCUUGACUUUGGGAUAACUUCAGGAAACUGGGGCUAAUACCGGAUAGGAGCUCCUGCUGCAUGGUGGGGGUUGGAAAGUUUCGGCGGUUGGGGGUGGACUCGCGGCUUAUCAGCUUGUUGGUGGGGUAGUGGCUUACCAAGGCUUUGACGGGUAGCCGGCCUGAGAGGGUGACCGGCCACAUUGGGACUGAGAUACGGCCCAGACUCCUACGGGAGGCAGCAGUGGGGAAUAUUGCCCAAUGGGCGGAAGCCUGAUGCAGCAACGCCGCGUGCGGGAUGACGGCCUUCGGGUUGUAAACCGCUUUCGCCUGUGACGAAGCGUGAGUGACGGUAAUGGGUAAAGAAGCACCGGCUAACUACGUG
RNAcentral lists this ribosomal RNA (468 nucleotides) under uncultured bacterium. RNAcentral describes it as "partial 16S ribosomal RNA". It matches the Rfam family "Bacterial small subunit ribosomal RNA", at positions 28 to 507 of the family's 1533-position model. The record is from RNAcentral.